Molecule: non-coding RNA, 75 nt
Organism: Schistocerca piceifrons (Central American locust)
Lineage: Eukaryota; Metazoa; Arthropoda; Insecta; Orthoptera; Acrididae
Source: the annotation of a RefSeq genome assembly
GUCUGGAUAGCUCAAUCGGUAGAGAAUUUGCCCCAGAAAGGCAAAGGUUCUGGGUUCGAUUCCCAGUCCGGCACA